RNAcentral lists this long non-coding RNA (747 nucleotides) under Daucus carota (carrot). RNAcentral describes it as "long non-coding RNA (DCAR_LNC005661)". Lineage: Eukaryota; Viridiplantae; Streptophyta; Magnoliopsida; Apiales; Apiaceae. The record is from RNAcentral.
GUGAAGAUUACAAAUAAGCAGAUCAGCGGAAUAACCCCAUACCAACUGCUGAGUAUGCCUGAUGACAUCUGACCUCCAAACGCUUAAAACAGCAUUUCUAAAAUCAUUAACAGCACCACAAUGCCAGCCAAAUAAAACAAAAAUCCAACCAGUACUGCAAUUCGUGGGCUCCGCAAGAAUAAUUACUACAACACAGAAACCUAAAGAAACCUGUCCUGUAAUGAAAUACACAAGUAAAGUGUCAACUUGCACAUAAUUAAUCAGCAAAUACACCAUGCUGUAAAUGAAAAAUCAUGGCCGCUAGAACAAUUUUAUUAAUCAAACAGUGAAGCAAUUUACCCCGCCAAUUUUCUGCAGCACGACGAAUAAAAAUCUCCCAAUCACCAGCAUACCACAAACAAUAUCCCUUGGAUUGAAAAGCCUUUAAAACCUCAGAACAGAAGGCACAUUCAAAAAACAAAUGAUGAGCUGAGUCCCUAGCAUCUUCACAAAAACUAAAAAACACAUUUUGAUGAACCUGCCAGCUGUAAAGACGAUCUUGAGUGAGAACCUAUUUUCUGCAGCACGACGAAUAAAAAUCUCCCAAUCACCAGCAUACCACAAACAAUAUCCCUUGGAUUGAAAAGCCUUUAAAACCUCAGAACAGAAGGCACAUUCAAAAAACAAAUGAUGAGCUGAGUCCCUAGCAUCUUCACAAAAACUAAAAAACACAUUUUGAUGAACCUGCCAGCUGUAAAGACGAUCUUG